Molecule: ribosomal RNA, 253 nt
Filed under: uncultured bacterium
Lineage: Bacteria
Description: partial 16S ribosomal RNA
Rfam family: Bacterial small subunit ribosomal RNA
Source: RNAcentral
UACGGGGGGGGCAAGCGUUGUUCGGAAUUACUGGGCGUAAAGGGUUUGUAGGUGGCUUGUUAAGUCAGACGUGAAAUCCCUCAGCUUAACUGGGGAACUGCGUCUGAUACUGGAUGGCUUGAGUUUGGGAGAGGGACGCGGAAUUCCAGGUGUAGCGGUGAAAUGCGUAGAUAUCUGGAGGAACACCGGUGGCGAAGGCGGCAUCCUGGACCGGCAUUGACGCUGAGGCGCGAAAGCCAGGGGAGCAAACGGG